UUUAGUUCUAAUAUUGAAAAUUAUACAGAAACUUACAUUUUAAAAUAACAAACUGUAAAAAAUAGCAAAACAGCAACAAUUUGAUUAUGCUAUUCCUUCUCUUACAAUGUUGCUUUGAACAUGUCCACUAUUUUGAUAUUCUAUUUUGAAUGACCUCCAGGUUAUCACACUGAAGAGAUGGUGUCCCAAAGUGAAUUUAUGGCCCAGGAUGGAGUGUUUCUCUCUCUUGCCUUGUCCUAGACAGUCUUCUUCUACAGAUGCAGUCAAAUAGCUCGGAUGGCAAUCCCAGGUCUGGAUUAAUGCCUGUGUCUGCUGAAAAACAGUGGGACAGACAGUGCUGGUCCAUGGCUGCCUUCAAAAUGCUACUAAAUUUCUGUCUGCCAUAAAGUGGAGAGAAAAAGA
RNAcentral lists this long non-coding RNA (402 nucleotides) under Pan troglodytes (chimpanzee). RNAcentral describes it as "lncRNA (ENSPTRG00000054386.1)". The record is from RNAcentral. Lineage: Eukaryota; Metazoa; Chordata; Mammalia; Primates; Hominidae.